RNAcentral lists this ribosomal RNA (484 nucleotides) under uncultured bacterium. RNAcentral describes it as "partial 16S ribosomal RNA". It matches the Rfam family "Bacterial small subunit ribosomal RNA", at positions 28 to 507 of the family's 1533-position model. The record is from RNAcentral.
AUUGAACGCUGGCGGCAUGCUUUACACACGCAAGUCGAACGGCAGCGCGGGCUUCGGCCUGGCGGCGAGUGGCGAACGGGUGAGUAAUGCAUCGGAACGUGCCCAGUAGUGGGGGAUAGCCCGGCGAAAGCCGGAUUAAUACCGCAUACGACCUGAGGGUGAAAGCGGGGGACCGAAAGGCCUCGCGCUAUUGGAGCGGCCGAUGUCGGAUUAGCUAGUUGGUGGGGUAAAGGCUUACCAAGGCGACGAUCCGUAGCUGGUCUGAGAGGACGACCAGCCACACUGGGACUGAGACACGGCCCAGACUCCUACGGGAGGCAGCAGUGGGGAAUUUUGGACAAUGGGGGCAACCCUGAUCCAGCCAUGCCGCGUGCGGGAAGAAGGCCUUCGGGUUGUAAACCGCUUUUGUUCGGGAAGAAAUCCUCUGGGCUAAUACCCCGGGGGGAUGACGGUACCGGAAGAAUAAGCACCGGCUAACUACGUG